GGUCUCGCUUUGGCAACUCAUAUACUAAAAUUGGAACAAUACAGAGAAGAUUAGCAUGGCCCUGCACUUAGGCCUUAGAAACUCAAAUUGUAGACUAAAAAUUCUU
This is a small nuclear RNA of Sceloporus undulatus (fence lizard), 106 nucleotides long. NCBI's taxonomy places the organism in Eukaryota, Metazoa, Chordata, Lepidosauria, Squamata, Phrynosomatidae. The record is from RefSeq and is a predicted model, not a curated record.